AGUGAACGCUGGCGGUAGGCCUAACACAUGCAAGUCGAACGGCAGCACAGUAAGAGCUUGCUCUUACGGGUGGCGAGUGGCGGACGGGUGAGGAAUACAUCGGAAUCUACUUUUUCGCGGGGGAUAACGUAGGGAAACUUACGCUAAUACCGCAUACGACCUACGGGUGAAAGCAGGGGAUCUUCGGACCUUGCGCGAUUGAAUGAGCCGAUGUCGGAUUAGCUAGUUGGCGGGGUAAAGGCCCACCAAGGCGACGAUCCGUAGCUGGUCUGAGAGGAUGAUCAGCCACCCUGGAACUGAGACACGGUCCAGACUCCUACGGGAGGCAGCAGUGGGGAAUAUUGGACAAUGGGCGCAAGCCUGAUCCAGCCAUACCGCGUGGGUGAAGAAGGCCUUCGGGUUGUAAAGCCCUUUUGUUGGGAAAGAAAAGCAGCAGGUUAAUACCCCGCUGUUCUGACGGUACCCAAAGAAUAAGCACCGGCUAACUUCGUG
This 492-nucleotide ribosomal RNA is filed under the name uncultured bacterium. Its description in RNAcentral is "partial 16S ribosomal RNA". It matches the Rfam family "Bacterial small subunit ribosomal RNA", at positions 29 to 507 of the family's 1533-position model. The record is from RNAcentral.